GUGACAAGGUAGGGGUGGUAUACAGAAGAUAGCCCUAUUUGGUAAAAGACCAAGUGGGGUGGCAGGUAGCCGAGUGGGUAGAGCAUUGAGUUAGUAACAGAAAGGUUGCUGGCUCGAAUCCUUGAGCUGACGAUAAAUAUUUCUCGUUUGGCUGCUGAAUAAGGCAAUUAACUCACUGUUCCCCGGUAGGCUGUCAUUGUAAGUAACAAUUUGUCCUUAACUGACUUGCCUUGUUAAAUAAUGUUUUUUUUAAACAAUUAUGGCAAGAACAUUACAAUUAAGGGAAGAGAAACAACAGUCCAUCAUUACUUUUAGACACUAAAGUCAGUCAGUAAAGAACAUUCAAAGUUUCUUGAAGUGCUAUGAUGAAACUGGCUCUUAUGAGGAUCCCCACAGGAAAGGAAGAGUUACUUCUGCUGCACAGGAUAAGUUCAUUAGAGUAAACUGCAGCUCAUAUUGCAGCCCAAAUAAAUGCUUCACAGAGUUCAAGUAACAGACACGUCUUAACAUCAACUGUUCAGAGGAGGUUGCGUGAAUCAGGCAUUCAUGGUCGAAUUGCUGCAAAGAAACCACUACUAAAGGACACCAAUAAUAAGAGACUUGCUUGGGCAAAGAAACACGAGCAAUGGACAUUAGACUGGUGGAAAUCUGUCCUUUCUGAUGAGUCCAAAUUUGAGAUUUGGUUCCAACUGCCGUGUCUUUGAGAGACGCGGAGUAGGUGAACGAAUGGUCUCCGCAUGUGUGGUUCCCACCGUGAAGCAUGGAUGAACAGGUGUGAUGGUUGUUACCAACAAGUGAGGUCUCGAACUAAAAGGAGCUACCACUGUACUGUACAAGGGGCCUGCGCUUCUUCUAGGACAACAAGUUUGAGGAGGUGGAGAAGGGAGACACCUGCCCUGCAGGAUGGAUGUCGAGAAGGGCAAGAUUGAGGACACGGGAGGCAGCGGCGGCUCCUACUCCAUCAAGACCCAGUUCAACUCAGAGGAGCAGUGGACCAAGGUGCUCAAGUUCAUGUUGACCAACCUCAAGUGGGGCCUGGUGUGGGUGUCGUCUCAGUUUUACAACCGAUAGAGGAGGAAGAUGAGGAAUCACCCUGGGUGUGCCCCUUGACCCUUCUAAAACCACCAUUUCGUCACAAUGUGUGACUCUCUAAAGGUCUUCUUCUACAAUGCUCUCCUUGCUUCCCUGUGAUGUUUUGAGAGGGUGGGGAGAAGACUGGAGGAAGGACUUUUGAGAUUCACCACAGGUGUGAGUUCCAAUCGAGUACGUCAUGUUUCCUUGUUUGAUUUCCACAUUGACCAUAUGAAAGGACAAAAUAAAAACUGUUAAAUUGUUCACAUUCAAAUCCGCCUAGACUCAUAGGUGUUAUGAAGGGAGCUAUCUGAGACUUUUGGAACACAUUCCAGGAUUGAGUCCUAAUAGUAGCUAAGUGGCUUCUGGUUGUGUAUUUUCCUUCAUAUGCACAUAUCUUAUGACACUGGAUAGGUGAAAGCUGUUGUUUCCAAUUGACCUGUUCAAUUCUUAUAGAUCAGUACACAUGAAGGGAAGGUGUGAAGGACACGUUGAACUACUGAGAUGCAGCACUGGAAUGGGUUCUUAUGUAUCACAUGCUUCUUACUUUGCUCCAGAAGCAAAGCUGGAGAGUCAUGUAUCUGGUUUUCUGCCUAUUUUUCUUCAAUUGGUUUGUGUCUUUGUGGUUCAACUCCACUCUAGCCACAGAAUAAUGUAAAUGUUUAUGUUUUAAUAGUUUUCCUUUUACUGUGCUGACAAGGUAAAGAUGGUUUAAUUUCACCAUGCGUUGGAACAGCAUUGGAACGUUUGCCUUGUCUGUUCUCUUGUCUCCCCAAUCGCAGGGCGCACCAAGUGUCUACCGAAAGCUUUGGCGUUGGGAUUAUGCUGUGCUUUUGUUCAUUGGCAACUUCAACAAGGCAAUACUUUUACUACAAGUGACUUCUUGGUGUAGAUUUAAAUGUAG
Molecule: long non-coding RNA, 1975 nt
Organism: Oncorhynchus kisutch (coho salmon)
Lineage: Eukaryota; Metazoa; Chordata; Actinopteri; Salmoniformes; Salmonidae
Exons: 3
Source: RefSeq, a predicted model, not a curated record